GGAGUCUGGGCCGUAUCUCAGUCCCAAUGUGGCCGUUCAACCUCUCAGUCCGGCUACUGAUCGUCGCCUUGGUAGGCCGUUGCCCCACCAACUAGCUAAUCAGACGUGAGCCCAUCUAAUAGCGGAUUGCUCCUUUCCUCACUGCACCAUGUGGUGCUGUGAGCAUAUGCGGUAUUAGCAAUGAUUUCUCACUGUUAUUCCCCUCUACUAGGCAGGUUGCUCACGCAUUACUCACCAGUCCGCCACUAAAGCCAUUGCUAAAGAACUUCAAUCAGAUAAAUCUUCAAUCUUUUCUCUAGCGACUUCCGUUCGACUUGCAUGUCUUAUGUGCGCCGCCAGCGUUAUCCUCGAGCCAGGAGUCAAACUACU
This 369-nucleotide ribosomal RNA is filed under the name uncultured Oscillospiraceae bacterium. RNAcentral describes it as "partial 16S ribosomal RNA". The record is from RNAcentral. Lineage: Bacteria; Bacillati; Bacillota; Clostridia; Eubacteriales; Oscillospiraceae.